GAUGAACGCUGGCGGCGUGCCUAAUACAUGCAAGUCGAGCGAACAGACGAGGAGCUUGCUCCUCUGACGUUAGCGGCGGACGGGUGAGUAACACGUGGAUAACCUACCUAUAAGACUGGGAUAACUUCGGGAAACCGGAGCUAAUACCGGAUAAUAUAUUGAACCGCAUGGUUCAAUAGUGAAAGACGGUUUUGCUGUCACUUAUAGAUGGAUCCGCGCCGCAUUAGCUAGUUGGUAAGGUAACGGCUUACCAAGGCAACGAUGCGUAGCCGACCUGAGAGGGUGAUCGGCCACACUGGAACUGAGACACGGUCCAGACGCUUACGGGAGGCAGCAGUAGGGAAUCUUCCGCAAUGGGCGAAAGCCUGACGGAGCAACGCAGCGUGAGUGAUGAAGGUCUUCGGAUCGUAAAACUCUGUUAUUAGGGAAGAACAAAUGUGUAAGUAACUAUGCACGUCUUGACGGUACCUAAUCAGAAAGCCACGGCUAACUACGUG
This 497-nucleotide ribosomal RNA is filed under the name uncultured bacterium. Its description in RNAcentral is "partial 16S ribosomal RNA". It matches the Rfam family "Bacterial small subunit ribosomal RNA", at positions 28 to 507 of the family's 1533-position model. The record is from RNAcentral.